UCUAUCGGCUAGGCUAUCGUUCCAAUUUUAUUGGGGAGGAAAGUCCGGACAGCACAGAGCAACACACCGGUUAAUAGCCGGUUCCAACUUUGGUAGGAAAGAAAGUGCCACAGAAAAUUACUGCCCUGUAAAAAGGGUAAAGGUGAAAAUGUGAGGUAAGAUCUCACAGGUAGUUGUAGUAAUACAACAAUCGGGUAAACCUUGUGUGCUGCAAUGUCACGUAUAUCAACACUCCAAAGCAAUUUGGUAAAGAGCGGCUCGUUCAACGUUGAAGGGUAGGCAGCAAGAUAAUGUUAGUAAUAACAUUGCCAGAUAAAUGAUAGUCAUUUCAAUUUUAUUGGAAUUACAGAAUCCGGCUUAUUGGCUGAUAGAAUUU
RNAcentral lists this RNase P RNA (376 nucleotides) under Ferruginibacter sp. RNAcentral describes it as "RNase P RNA component class A". It matches the Rfam family "Bacterial RNase P class A". From Rfam's summary of the family: Ribonuclease P (RNase P) is a ubiquitous endoribonuclease, found in archaea, bacteria and eukarya as well as chloroplasts and mitochondria. The record is from RNAcentral. Lineage: Bacteria; Pseudomonadati; Bacteroidota; Chitinophagia; Chitinophagales; Chitinophagaceae.